AACGUACGCUGGCGGCACGCCUAACACAUGCAAGUCGAACGAAGUAGCAAUACUUAGUGGCAGACGGGUGAGUAACAUGUAGGUAUCUGCCCUUUGGCCUGGAAUAACACGAGGAAACUUGUGCUAAUACCGGAUAAGUCUUUACGGAGAAAGCUUUAUGCACCAUUGGAUGAGCCUGCACUUGAUUAGUUUGUUGGUGGGGUAAUGGCCUACCAAGACUGUGAUCAAUAGCUGAUUUGAGAGGAUGAUCAGCCACAUUGGGACUGAGACACGGCCCAAACUCCUACGGGAGGCAGCAGUGGGGAAUCUUGCACAAUGGAGGAAACUCUGAUGCAGCGAUGCCGCGUGAGUGAAGAAGGCCCUUGGGUUGUAAAGCUCUUUCGUCGGGGAAGAAAAUGACUGUACCCGAAUAAGAAGGUCCGGCUAACUUCGUGCCAGCAGCCGCGGUAAUACGAAGGGACCUAGCGUAGUUCGGAAUUACUGGGCUUAAAGAGUUCGUAGGUGGUUGAAAAAGUUAGUGGUGAAAUCCCAGAGCUUAACUCUGGAACUGCCAUUAAAACUUUUCAGCUAGAGUAUGAUAGAGGAAAGCAGAAUUUCUAGUGUAGAGGUGAAAUUCGUAGAUAUUAGAAAGAAUACCAAUUGCGAAGGCAGCUUUCUGGAUCAUUACUGACACUGAGGAACGAAAGCAUGGGUAGCGAAGAGGAUUAGAUACCCUCGUAGUCCAUGCCGUAAACGAUGUGUGUUAGACGUUGGAAAUUUAUUUUCAGUGUCGCAGGGAAACCGAUAAACACACCGCCUGGGGAGUACGACCGCAAGGUUAAAACUCAAAUGAAUUGACGGGGACCCGCACAAGUAGUGGAGCAUGUGGUUUAAUUCGAAGAUACGCGCAGAACCUUACCAACACUUGACAUGUUCGUCGCGACUCUAAGAGAUUAGAGUUUUCGGUCCGGCCGGACGAAACACAGGUGCUGCAUGGCUGUCGUCAGCUCGUGUCGUGAGAUGUUGGGUUAAGUCCCGCAACGAGCGCAACCCUCACUUUUAGUUGCCAUCAUUAAGUUGGGCACUCUGAAAGAACUGCCAGUGAUAAGCUGGAGGAAGGUGGGGAUGACGUCAAGUCCUCAUGGCCCUUACGUGUUGGGCUACACACGUGCUACAAUGGUAUCUACAACAGGAAGCAAGACUGCGAAGUUAAGCAAAUCCCUAAAAGAUACCUCAGUUCGGAUUGCACUCUGCAAACUCGAGUGCAUAAAGCUGGAAUUACUAGUAAUCGUGGAUCAGCGUGCCACGGUAAAUGCGUUCCCGGGUCU
This 1307-nucleotide ribosomal RNA is filed under the name uncultured bacterium. RNAcentral describes it as "bacterial SSU rRNA". It matches the Rfam family "Bacterial small subunit ribosomal RNA", at positions 28 to 1381 of the family's 1533-position model. The record is from RNAcentral.